RNAcentral lists this ribosomal RNA (238 nucleotides) under Sphaerogastrella sp. POG-2002. Its description in RNAcentral is "Sphaerogastrella n. sp. POG-2002 partial 28S ribosomal RNA". Lineage: Eukaryota; Metazoa; Arthropoda; Insecta; Diptera; Drosophilidae. The record is from RNAcentral.
ACGUCAGAACUGUUUCGGUCUUCCAUCAGGGUUUCCCCUGACUUCAACCUGAUCAAGUAUAGUUCACCAUCUUUCGGGUCACAGCAUAAAUGCUCAAGGUACGUUCCAGUUAGAGGUAUAAAUAAUAUAAAUAUUAUUAUACAUAACUAUAUAGAACGCCCCGGGAUUGUGUUAAUUGUCUAUAAAUAGACAAAAAACUAAUCCCAUUAUCAGUUAAGUUAAUUACGCUAUUAGGUUU